RNAcentral lists this ribosomal RNA (391 nucleotides) under uncultured bacterium. RNAcentral's name for it is "bacterial SSU rRNA". It matches the Rfam family "Bacterial small subunit ribosomal RNA", at positions 28 to 407 of the family's 1533-position model. The record is from RNAcentral.
GACGAACGCUGGCGGCGUGCCUAACACAUGCAAGUCGAGCGGGAACCUCAGGAGGGGUAACCCUUCUGAGGGGAGAGCGGCGAACGGGUGAGUAACACGUGGGCAACCUGCCCCGGACACCGGGAUAACCCACGGGAAACCUGAGCUAAUACCGGAUACUCCGGCGCGAUCGCAUGGUCGUGCCGGGAAAGCUCCGACGGUCCGGGAUGGGCCCGCGGCCUAUCAGCUUGUUGGUGGGGUAACGGCCCACCAAGGCGACGACGGGUAGCUGGUCUGAGAGGACGGCCAGCCGCACUGGGACUGAGACACGGCCCAGACUCCUACGGGAGGGCAGCAGUGGGGGAUCUUGCGCUAAUGCGCGAAAGCGUGACGCAGCGACGCCGCGUGGGGA